UCAGACAAAACAUAAAACAGAGAGACAUUCUCACUAAAGGUGUUUCACAUGAUCAUGAGGGAGAUUCAGAACAGAAAAUGGAUUCCUUAGAGAUGAUCGCCUUGGUCAAAUGGCUUACGAUUUGUUAAUGAUGCAUUCUUCAUAUGCUCUUUUAUUUGAUGCCUCCUAUGAAAUUCAUAAAUUCUGCAUAAAAAGUGAGAAGGCCUGGAACACAUAUGUCCUCAUUUCAAAGGCAUUUUGUGCAAGAUCAAAAAGGCUGAAGAUUUAAAAUUCUGAUUCCAGACUUUUGGGCUGAUGGCAUCUUCUAAAAAGAGAGAGACUUGUACUUGCAUUCAUUUAAGUGAAAGGCAUUAAGAAGUAAAUCAUAGGAAGACUGAAAUGGAAACUUCUAAAAUCAAAAAUUAAAUUUG
This is a long non-coding RNA of Sarcophilus harrisii (Tasmanian devil), 410 nucleotides long. RefSeq lists it as uncharacterized. Lineage: Eukaryota; Metazoa; Chordata; Mammalia; Dasyuromorphia; Dasyuridae. The transcript is spliced from 3 exons. The record is from RefSeq and is a predicted model, not a curated record.